Molecule: ribosomal RNA, 468 nt
Filed under: uncultured bacterium
Lineage: Bacteria
Description: partial 16S ribosomal RNA
Rfam family: Bacterial small subunit ribosomal RNA
Source: RNAcentral
GACGAACGCUGGCGGCGUGCUUAACACAUGCAAGUCGAACGGAAAGGCCCUGCUUUUGUGGGGUGCUCGAGUGGCGAACGGGGGAGUAACACGUGAGUAACCUGCCCUUGACUUUGGGAUAACUUCAGGAAACUGGGGCUAAUACCGGAUAGGAGCUCCUGCUGCAUGGUGGGGGUUGGAAAGUUUCGGCGGUUGGGGAUGGACUCGCGGCUUAUCAGCUUGUUGGUGGGGUAGUGGCUUACCAAGGCUUUGACGGGUAGCCGGCCUGAGCGGGUGACCGGCCACAUUGGGACUGAGAUACGGCCCAGACUCCUACGGGAGGCAGCAGUGGGGAAUAUUGCACAAUGGGCGGAAGCCUGAUGCAGCAACGCCGCGUGCGGGAUGACGGCCUUCGGGUUGUAAACCGCUUUCGCCUGUGACGAAGCGUGAGUGACGGUAAUGGGUAAAGAAGCACCGGCUAACUACGUG